RNAcentral lists this ribosomal RNA (190 nucleotides) under uncultured Clostridium sp. Its description in RNAcentral is "partial 16S ribosomal RNA". It matches the Rfam family "Bacterial small subunit ribosomal RNA", at positions 338 to 525 of the family's 1533-position model. The record is from RNAcentral. Lineage: Bacteria; Bacillati; Bacillota; Clostridia; Eubacteriales; Clostridiaceae.
CCUACGGGAGGCAGCAGUGAGGAAUAUUGGACAAUGGAUGGAAAUCUGAUCCAGCCAUGCCGCGUGAAGGACGACGGUCCUAUGGAUUGUAAACUUCUUUUGUAUGGGAGCAAUAAGGUCUACGUGUAGAUCGAUGAGAGUACCAUACGAAUAAGCAUCGGCUAACUCCGUGCCAGCAGCCGCGGUAAUA